RNAcentral lists this long non-coding RNA (860 nucleotides) under Lynx pardinus (Iberian lynx). The record is from RNAcentral. Lineage: Eukaryota; Metazoa; Chordata; Mammalia; Carnivora; Felidae.
CCUCCUCAUAAUCCUCAAGGGCAGCCAUGUCCUCAUGGGCCUCAGAAAACUUUCUUUUCCUGCAUGCCCUCACCCACAUACCAGUGAACAAAGGCACGCUUGGCAUACAUCAGGUCAAACUUGUGGUCCAGGCGAGCCCAGGCCUCAGCAAUGGCUGCGGUGUUGCUCAGCAUGCACACAGCUCGCUGUACUUUGGCCAGGUCUCCACCAGGUACCACAGUGGGAGGCUGGUAAUUAAUACCAACUUUGAAGCCAGUGGGACACCAGUCCACAAACUGGAUGGUACGCUUGAUCUUGAUGGUGGCAAUGGCAGCACUGACAUCUUUGGGAACCACAUCACCACAGUACAACAGGCAGCAAGCCAUGUAUUUACGAUGGCAAGGGUCACAUUUCACCAUCUGGUUGGCUGGCUCAAAGGAUGCAUUGGUGAUCUCUGCUACAGAAAGCUGUUCACGGUAGGCUUUCUCAGCAGAGAUGACAGGGGCAUAUGUGGCCAGAGGGAGGUGGAUGCAGGGAUAAGGCACCAGGUUGGUCUGGAUUCUGUCAAAUCAACAACAUUCAGGGCUCCAUCAAAUCUGAGGGAAGCAGUGAUGGAAGACACAAUUUGACCUAUCAACCUAUUUAGGUUAGUGUAGGUUGGGCGUUCAAUAUCGAGGUUUCUACGACAGAUGUCAUAGAUGGCCUCAUUGUCUACCAUGAAGGCACAAUCAGAGUGCUCCAGGGUGGUGUGGGUAGUGAGGAUGGAGUUGUAGGGCUCAACUACAGUGGAAACCUGGGGAGCUGGGUAAAUGGACAACUCCAGCUUGGACUUCUUGCCAUAUUCGACAAAGAAACGUUCCAUCAGCAGGGAGGUGAACCCG